RNAcentral lists this ribosomal RNA (762 nucleotides) under uncultured bacterium. RNAcentral's name for it is "bacterial SSU rRNA". It matches the Rfam family "Bacterial small subunit ribosomal RNA", at positions 8 to 767 of the family's 1533-position model. The record is from RNAcentral.
AGAGUUUGAUCAUGGCUCAGAUUGAACGCUGGCGGCAGGCCUAACACAUGCAAGUCGAACGGUAACAUUUCUAGCUUGCUAGAAGAUGACGAGUGGCGGACGGGUGAGUAAUGCUUGGGAACUUGCCUUUGCGAGGGGGAUAACAGUUGGAAACGACUGCUAAUACCGCAUAAUGUCUUCGGACCAAACGGGGCUUCGGCUCCGGCGCAAAGAGAGGCCCAAGUGAGAUUAGCUAGUUGGUAAGGUAACGGCUUACCAAGGCGACGAUCUCUAGCUGUUCUGAGAGGAAGAUCAGCCACACUGGGACUGAGACACGGCCCAGACUCCUACGGGAGGCAGCAGUGGGGAAUAUUGCACAAUGGGGGGAACCCUGAUGCAGCCAUGCCGCGUGUGUGAAGAAGGCCUUCGGGUUGUAAAGCACUUUCAGUUGUGAGGAAAAGUUAGUAGUUAAUACCUGCUAGCCGUGACGUUAACAACAGAAGAAGCACCGGCUAACUCCGUGCCAGCAGCCGCGGUAAUACGGAGGGUGCGAGCGUUAAUCGGAAUUACUGGGCGUAAAGCGCACGCAGGCGGUUUGUUAAGCUAGAUGUGAAAGCCCCGGGCUCAACCUGGGAUGGUCAUUUAGAACUGGCAGACUAGAGUCUUGGAGAGGGGAGUGGAAUUCCAGGUGUAGCGGUGAAAUGCGUAGAUAUCUGGAGGAACAUCAGUGGCGAAGGCGACUCCCUGGCCAAAGACUGACGCUCAUGUGCGAAAGUGUGGGUA